Micropterus salmoides (largemouth bass) is the source of this 1386-nucleotide long non-coding RNA. RefSeq lists it as uncharacterized. Lineage: Eukaryota; Metazoa; Chordata; Actinopteri; Centrarchiformes; Centrarchidae. The record is from RefSeq and is a predicted model, not a curated record. The transcript has 4 exons.
UUUAGGGGCUUUAUACUUUUGCUCCCCUACAUUUUUAAAUCCUGUAUUGUAUUUAUUGCUGUUUAUCUGAACCCUAUAAAGUUACUGAGAUGAAGAAAAAUAAUUAUUUGUCAAUGAAAAUAUUGCACAACUUUGUUACAGCCAGCAUAACUGGAACACCAACCACUGAUGUUUGGAGAUUAAUUCAUUAAGGACAGAAUGCAUGCAUGAACUGAGGUACUACAAUGUCAUACAGAAUGAGCACUUUUACUUUUGAUACUUAAGUAUAUUCACUAUGACUAUGGAAUACUUUUAUACCUUUUUGAGGACUUGUGAUAAAUAUCUAUUUCUACUUUUCUUGAGUAAGGGACCAUUGUACUAUAUUUAAAGUAACUAUCAGCUGGAUGGUGCACUGGAAAAGUUGUUGCACUUAAAACAGAAGGUACAGUAUUCAAAAUGUGCUCAGGGCAUCCUUUUUUAUCUCCUGAGGACAAAAAAGAGCCAUUAAUAAGACUGAGCAAAGCAUCUCCCUCAAGUCUCUUCCUAUGAUGUCUUAGCCAGAACCUGGGCAAAUGUGGAGGGAACACAGACAGUUCUCCUGACAGUGUUGAGGUCCCCCUUAAACCUCCGCUGCCCCAUAUACAAAUACACACAAAGUGGCCUGUACAGUUCCACAGAUUCAAGACUCUCUAAAACCACCAUUUUUCUUUAUACGUCUAAAAUUGUAUAGAUUUUGUUACUAGCUGCAUUUCAGAUUUAGAUGAAUAAAAUACAGUCAACAAUUAAAUUACGGUGUUUGCUUAUGGUACUUUUAUACUUUUAGUUAAGUAAAAUUUUAAAUAUAUGAAAUUUUACUUCUAACAGUAUGUAAAGCCUGGUGUUUCUACUGUCACUGAUAAAUGUGUUUCUUGCUUUAUUUUAAACACUGUAGCCUGUAACACAGGCCUCUGUGUCAGAGCUGAGAAGUGGAGAAUAUUGUGGUGACUUUGCAGCCUCUCGGCUCAGGCUUAAUUAAUGGGCCAUCAGCGGAGGGACACGCCCCCCUGCACCUGGAACUUGCCCCCCUCCCCCAACCUUUCAGCAGCGCAGCAGAGAGGAGCAGAAGAAAACAGAGAGUGGCCGGAGUUUGGAGAGAUUUGUUAGCAGGAGUUUGGAGAGAUUUGUUUGAAAAAUUUAAAGACGAAGACUUCAUCUUAACCGACGCAAGAGGCAAUUUCAGAGCAGGUCCAGGAAGAGAUCGCUAUGAGUCAAACACAGAUGGAGGUUCUGACCCCUGCGCUGAGUUAGAGAUAAGGAGAACUCACUGAUGAUGAGACCCCCAGGCUUCCACAGAAGAACAAAGUCAAACAUGAGAGAGCAAGAGAGCAUGGAGUGAGGUAGAGAGAACUGCGAUGUAGAGUGCCUGGA